ACACUAAUAACCAUCUGUGAAUACAUUAAAUAGCAGAAAGCCUUUGGACACUAAUAACAAUCUGUUCGUAUACUAUGGACAUAUAUACCCCGAAGCCCAUAAAUGACCAUGUUUACUUUAAAAUAACAUUUAUCCGUCAGGGGUUAAUUACAUUAUUUGACAAUUAACCUCAUGUAAAUAGUACUCGAUAACCAGACGAUUAUACAACCGGCCUACAGCUAUAGGCAGGUGUAUGGACCAUUGGACUAUAUAAGAUCCAGCUUUGGACUUGAAGGAGGACAGAUUGGUACAAGCUAUUGGUACCGGAGAUUCCGCCAAGGUCUUCCCCAUCGUGGGUAGGCUGGAAAUCAUGCGCUUAAUAUCCGAACGUAAUCCAUAAGGACUGAACAUUUAUAAAACUAUACGAUCACGUGCCAUUGUGAACUAUUGAACAUUCGAACAAUUGAACUUUAAAAACAGUUUGUGAACAUUUCAACAUUUGAACUUUAGUAUCUUUCUUGACUUUGUAAUUACUUAAUAAAAUAUAUUUAUUCUUAAUGACUUCGUCACAUAAGUCACGAUUUGAUGCCGUUUGACCACGAUCGACUUGGAUUGUCUAAAAUAACGCGAAGGAAUAUAAAAGGUAAGAACUCAGUUACUUUCAUUUUUCUUAAUGGACAAUCAAGAUAUUUCUAUGUCAGUACAACAAAUAGAAAUGGCUUUUCAAGGGAUGGCACACAUAUUCAGUAAAGUUUUUAAUGUUAAAGGGAGUCAGGCCGUAUUUUUAAAAUGCUUAAAAUCAGAAGUUUU
Molecule: long non-coding RNA, 789 nt
Filed under: Mytilus galloprovincialis (Mediterranean mussel)
Lineage: Eukaryota; Metazoa; Mollusca; Bivalvia; Mytilida; Mytilidae
Source: RNAcentral